This 449-nucleotide ribosomal RNA is filed under the name uncultured bacterium. RNAcentral's name for it is "partial 16S ribosomal RNA". It matches the Rfam family "Bacterial small subunit ribosomal RNA", at positions 29 to 523 of the family's 1533-position model. The record is from RNAcentral.
AACGAACGCUGGCGGCAGGCUUAACACAUGCAAGUCGAGCGAGACCUUCGGGUCUAGCGGCGGACGGGUGAGUAACGCGUGGGAACGUGCCCUUCUCUACGGAAUAGCCCCGGGAAACUGGGAGUAAUACCGUAUACGCCCUUUGGGGGAAAGAUUUAUCGGAGAAGGAUCGGCCCGCGUUGGAUUAGGUAGUUGGUGGGGUAAGGGCCCACCAAGCCGACGAUCCAUAGCUGGUUUGAGAGGAUGAUCAGCCACACUGGGACUGAGACACGGCCCAGACUCCUACGGGAGGCAGCAGUGGGGAAUCUUAGACAAUGGGGGCAACCCUGAUCUAGCCAUGCCGCGUGAGUGAUGAAGGCCUUAGGGUUGUAAAGCUCUUUCAGCUGGGAAGAUAAUGACGGUACCAGCAGAAGAAGCCCCGGCUAACUCCGUGCCAGCAGCCGCAGUAA